RNAcentral lists this ribosomal RNA (547 nucleotides) under Escherichia coli. RNAcentral's name for it is "partial 23S ribosomal RNA". It matches the Rfam family "Bacterial large subunit ribosomal RNA", at positions 582 to 1129 of the family's 2925-position model. The record is from RNAcentral. Lineage: Bacteria; Pseudomonadati; Pseudomonadota; Gammaproteobacteria; Enterobacterales; Enterobacteriaceae.
GAGCAAUCUGUGUGACUGCGUACCUUUUGUAUAAUGGGUCAGCGACUUAUAUUCUGUAGCAAGGUUAACCGAAUAGGGGAGCCGAAGGGAAACCGAGUCUUAACUGGGCGUUAAGUUGCAGGGUAUAGACCCGAAACCCGGUGAUCUAGCCAUGGGCAGGUUGAAGGUUGGGUAACACUAACUGGAGGACCGAACCGACUAAUGUUGAAAAAUUAGCGGAUGACUUGUGGCUGGGGGUGAAAGGCCAAUCAAACCGGGAGAUAGCUGGUUCUCCCCGAAAGCUAUUUAGGUAGCGCCUCGUGAAUUCAUCUCCGGGGGUAGAGCACUGUUUCGGCAAGGGGGUCAUCCCGACUUACCAACCCGAUGCAAACUGCGAAUACCGGAGAAUGUUAUCACGGGAGACACACGGCGGGUGCUAACGUCCGUCGUGAAGAGGGAAACAACCCAGACCGCCAGCUAAGGUCCCAAAGUCAUGGUUAAGUGGGAAACGAUGUGGGAAGGCCCAGACAGCCAGGAUGUUGGCUUAGAAGCAGCCAUCAUUUAAAGA